AACCUCAAAAUACUAUUUGUAUAUGUUACUUACAAUAACAAAGUGUCUUUAUUGACUGGGGUAU
RNAcentral lists this transfer RNA (64 nucleotides) under Gastrocopta cristata. RNAcentral's name for it is "tRNA-Val". Lineage: Eukaryota; Metazoa; Mollusca; Gastropoda; Stylommatophora; Pupillidae. The record is from RNAcentral.